CACUGCUCACAUGCACAAAACGAACACGCGAACACGCGACGCACAAAGAAAAUCGAAGGAAGCUUUCCACUGCGUGUCUCGGUGGCUUGCGAGCAAGGGAUUUGUUUGGAGCACCAGUCGCAGAGGCGGCACCGACACAGCGUACACUAGGCACCACGAAACGGCAGCUCUCAAGGAGACUUAGAGGGCAACACGAGAGGCAAGAGGCGAGCGGACAAGAGGGCCGUUGCAUCUCAUGCCGCUGUCACGGCAGAGCCUGUAACUCUUAACGUGCGCCCUUUUUUUUUUCGCUUUCUUGGUGCACGUCUGUGCAUAUUCUAAACGAGACUCGCUCAGCUGCUUCGUGGCGGCUGCGGAGCUCUCAUUGUUUGGUGUGUCUUGUAAGAAGUGCGUGCUGCGCGCUGCUUCAUCGCCGCUGUGUGCGCGUGUGUGCGCGUGCGUGCGUGUGUGUGUGUGUGUGCAGCUCUCCUUGCUUUUGCGGCCGAUUUCUUUCCUUAUCCUGUGCAUAGCAUGCUUCAAGUCAGCAGCAGCGGCGGAAUGCGUAAGCUGCCCGGCAAGCACAACUCCCCCGUUGCCGUGUCGGUUCCUGGGGGUGUGAUGCGUGUGGAAAGCGCGCGUCAUGGCAAGCGUCGUGCAUCACGUGUGUUUUACGUUGGUUGCCUCACUGCCGUUGCCUUGAUGCUCGUCUGCGCGUGCGUGCGCUACUUGGCAGUCUUACAAGGCUUCGAGGACUCGCAACGACUGACUUUUGCCGAUGAGCCGACUUCCAGGGACAACUUUAUCGCGAAGUGGAUGAAGGAGAUGGCGGCUCGCAGAGAGCAGAAAUGGACGUCGAGCCCGCCAGCCACGGCGCAUGGGAUGGUGGGGACAGGUAAGCCAACGGCAUCCAGCACUACUACCACCCCAACUGCGGCGCCAUCCUCUCCGCUUCCCAUAGUGACAAGACCGGUCCCCACGAGUGAUAAAGGCACACCAACGACUUCAUACCCGGAGAGAGACAAACCCAACCCCGAAGCGCCGCUAUCCCAGACGGAUUUCCCUGAGGCCACGCCCUUUACAGCGACGACGACAGUAGAUCUGCGCACAGUGAGGCCAGACAUGUACAAGUUAGGUCACACGCAGCACAAGGACUACGCCGAGUGCGACCCGGAGGAGCCGCACCUCCUGCCUGGGCUGCAGAUCCAGCGGCGCACCUUCACGCCGGCGGAGCUGCUUGAGCGCUUCGGCGACACGGACAUCAUCUACAGCUUCGUCAACGGCAGCGAGGCGAACCACCAGUAUCGAAAGCAGAUUCACCGCGUUUGCAUGCAGGCCAUACUCGACGCCGAGAGCAACGCCUUUCACGCCUCCGUGCUUGCCCCUGUUUCCGCUUACCACAAUGAUGCACCAAGGUGCCUGCCCGACUCUCUGUGGCGUCACAUCGGCCCUGAAAAGACUGUAGCCGACUUUGUUGGUGCUGUCGAAGCUGCUGCCGGCCACGGUGUCGACAACCGUGAUCGCGAGACGGACGAGCUGCGGCACAGCCUGCGCAGCGUGGAGCAGCACGUGCGGUGGCACCGCGGCCGCGUGGUGAUGGUGUCGCCCGGGCACCACCCGACGUGGGUGGACGGCGCGAAGAACUUCCUUGCUGGGAUGUGCGGCGGUGCGCGCGUGCAGGCGCUGCGGUCGAGCGGGACGCACCUGCGCGUGACGACUGUGCACCAGGACGCCGUGAUGCCGUACGGGAUGCGGCUGACGGUGGACUCGCACGUGAUCGAGCAGCACCUGUGGCGCGUGCGCAACAUGACACCCGUGCACGUGUACAUGAACGACGACUACUUUGUGAACCGCGACGUUGCGAUCACGGACCUGUUCAACGAGUACGGCGGCACGAUUGUGCGGACGGAGAGGGGCAUCAUUGCGGCCGGCGCUGUCGCAGAUAGAAGCGCUUCCUGGGCAAAGGGCGUGCUGCACACGCAGCAGUUCAACAUCAUGGAGCUGGACGUGCUGCGCGAGGACUACCUGCCGGAGGCCCUAGUCGCCAUGUGGGACAGUCUGAAGCGCGUAAACAGGAGCGCUGGUGCCGCUGCCGUGACUGCUAUUUCCGUACCACCCCUUGACGAGGCGGUCGAUGUCGCGCACCAAUACGAACCGGACCCGCUGCCCGGCAAGUCGCUCAUACCACGCCGCCCGCGCCGAUACACCACCCACGCGCCGUUCGUGUACUGCACGAAUAUGUUCCGCUUCUUCGAGACCCGCUACGAGCGCGAGUUUGCCGCGACAGCGCUUCGCCACCGCAGUCGCAAGGCGCGCGACCUCUUCAUCCCGUUUGUGUACAACGCCUUCAUCAUGGCGCGGCCGUGGCAGGCGUCGCCGAAGUUCCUGCCGUACCUGCUGGAGCUGCACCGGAGCCGACGACAGGGGCGGGCGGACGCGAUGCCGCCGACGGAGAUCGUGCUGGACAACGUCGACGGCUGCGGCCCCGCAUCGUUGCUCAGCGGCGCGACUGAGUCUGAUUGCGUGUUUGCCAAGUUCCUGAACGACUUAACGCUGAACAAGGCGGUGGUGGAGCGCGUGCGGCAGGUGAACCCGCUGUACUUCAACAUCAACGCCGGGUUCAGCAGCGCGGAGGCUGCGGACCAGCUGCGCCGCUUCCUGCACGGCAAGUUUCCGACUCCGGUGUACCUGGAGGUGGGCGGAGCCCCGCCCCCCGGCGAGGGCCUCGUAGACGGCGCGGGGGAGGUGGUGGGCGGCAGGACGAGGGCUGCCGGGGCCGCCGCGGCUGCUGAGGAGGAAGCGCUGUCGAGGCUGUUUGGCGACCUGAUGGCGCUGCCGGUGGUGGGCGUUGUGUCGUACGAGGAGGGCGUGUGCCCGCUUGUGCGGAGCCUUGCGCUUGCGUUCGCGGGGCACCACCGUGGCGGCGUGCGUGUGAGCGUGGAGCAGCACGGCGGCGCGGCGCUGCGUGAGGCGCGCGCUGCGCUUGGGCACCGCGUGAUGAGCGCGAUGCCUGCGCCUGCGUGCGCGUACAAGGAGCAGGUGAGCGUGGACCCCGCGGCACGGGGUGAGAGCGUUGCCGAGAUUGCCCGGCGCGCCAUGGGUGAAAUGCGGGGCGGCGUGGAGCUGCCGUCGACGUGCGGCGCCGGCGGCGCUGGGCUGCGCGUGCACGGGUUCGUGGUGGACGCGCGGACGCGCGGGGCGCCUGUGCGGAGCGCUGCUGCGCUGCGGGACGCGCUUGCGGUGCCUGCGCAGACGCUGUCGCUGGAGGACUUCCGCGCCGUUGCUGUUGGGCCGUCGGAGGGCGACGUGGUGCUGGUUGUGUCGCGCGAGGACGCGGAGGCGAAGGCGGUGCACUGGGUGAAUGGGGCGUCGGAGAGUGACCUGCUUGUGACGUACCCGCUGCCGGUGGAGGCGUACGAGGACAUGGGCGCGGAGGUGCGGUGGUCGGUGCCGUAGAGCGAUAUGCGGACGGGCUCUUGCGAGGUGCAGGGUUGUGGGGGCGGAGGUGCUGUGGGCGGGUGGCGGAGUGACGCAUAUUCCGUGCGCGUCGCGGCCGUGGCGUGCUGGGCGGUGUGCUGGAGAUGGCAAGCGGUGAUGCACAACGGAGCGUGUGUGAGCGGUGCGCCUCUCUCCCUUCAGCAACGCCCGCCUGCUGCUUGCAGCGGUGUUCAUAGGCGGCCUGACUCUCCCUCGCUCUCUGUGUGUGUGUGCUUGCGCCCCUCAUGCCCUUGAUCUGGCUCGCUCAGCGCUGGUGCUUGGCAAUGAUGCGGGGCGGUGUGGUGGCGCUGCCCCGCCCCCGCCGCUGAACUGGCAUGCGUGCUUUCGUGGCCGUUUUCCUUCUUUUCCCCGCGCCCUCUACGUCACACACUCGAUGAAGAAGGAUGCGGGCGGUGUCGCUGAGUCCUUGCGCCUGAGGUGGGCAUGGGCGGCAAUGAGACUGCGCAGUUGGCCGCGUUGGUGGGGGCGGACGGGUUGGCGAUGCGUGUGCGUGUGCGUCUCUCUUGUUGUUGUUGACACAUGUUUUCUUAGUUUUCUCAUCAUUCUCUUUUCCAGUGAUGUUUUUAUCUUUUCCGCCUUGUUUUGGGGUACAUGCUGAUCGGCGCACGCUCUCGGGAGCGUGCGUGCGUGUGCAGUGCCCUCCCUCGAAGUGGUCAACACGGCUGUGCUGUGGUGAAGAGGGCAGACGGGAGUGGAGGGGUAUCGCAGGAUGCUGAGGUCAGUUACGGGGGAGCGAGAGGCAGGCUGCAGGUGGCGGGUGGUGAUGUAUUCCCCUGAGGACGUGCACGCGCAGUACAAAGGCUACCGCCCUUUUCGCCCCUUCCUCUCUUCACCGCUGCCGUUCUGCCUCCGUGCCCCCCUCCCUCCCUUCCGUCACGCGGUUUCUUUCUGGUGCCGCUUGCGAGCUCGCCGCACCGAAUCCUCGCGCGGCGUCUUUGCCCUCCUUAUCGGCGCGCGCGUUGAUGGUCGUUUCCUUUUAUUUUUUCCCGUGUCUGCUCAUUGAUGCUGAAGGAUGGGGAGGGAGGGGGAGGGCGCCGCGGUGCGUGGUAUUUUACAUACACACACACGGGACAGCACCCCGCCCCCCGCCCCGUCCACCCCUUCUCUCCUCUUCCACCCCUGGAAUACUUCUCAAUCUCUCCGCCACGGAAAAGCAGCGGAAAAAGGCUGGUGAUGUGUAGCAGGUGGAAUGCGGUGGGUCCGUCUUGUUCUCUAUUCGUUUUCGAUUUGGAGUAUGUAUGUGUCGGAAGCGUUGCCGAGAGGUGCUCAUGGACGAUUUGUUGCUAGUGCCUCUCUGUCGUGUGUGCGUGUGCACCGCUCUGUCUCUUUUUCUCUGUCGUUGUUUUGAUGUGUUGGAGGUGGAGAAGGGUGGAGCACGUGGAGCAUGUUGCCGGCCGAGAAUCACGGCGCCGAACCAUAAUAAGCCCGACUAGCGGGUCCUGCACGAC
Molecule: unclassified non-coding RNA, 4922 nt
Filed under: Leishmania donovani
Lineage: Eukaryota; Euglenozoa; Kinetoplastea; Trypanosomatida; Trypanosomatidae
Description: gene:LdHU3.16.1250(CDS-product:Protein_of_unknown _function_(DUF3184)_putative)
Source: RNAcentral